GCAUUGAAACACCCGUUCUCGUCGGAUCACCGGCGUUAAAUAAUGUUGAGCCUGGUAAGUACGUAGAUGGUUGAACGCUGGGAAACACAAGGUGCUGUAAG
Acanthosepion pharaonis is the source of this 101-nucleotide non-coding RNA. Lineage: Eukaryota; Metazoa; Mollusca; Cephalopoda; Sepiida; Sepiidae. The record is from the annotation of a GenBank genome assembly.